AGGGAUAAGAGGUUUAGCCGGAUUAGGGACUUCGUCUUGCUCGCGUAGCGUAUGUUGAACGUGUUGGAACCUUGCUGAGGUAAGGGCACUUUCUAACGAUUCCAUAUAUCUCGAAAUAUCGAGUGUUUUUUAUGCAUGUGUAAUUUUUUGCUUGAAUAUGUGUAUUUGCUUGAUGUGAUGCAAUUUGAAUUAUGAGCAUGUUGGAAAUUUCAUAUGAUUGAAUAAUAUGAAAUGUGGUGGGUGGCAUUUAGUAUGGUCAAGCAUAAAACUCGUCUUUAAAUAAAAUCAGAGUUAUCUUUUUUCAAAAUGACGAUCGGAAUGCAAUGCCU
RNAcentral lists this long non-coding RNA (329 nucleotides) under Trifolium pratense (red clover). RNAcentral describes it as "long non-coding RNA (TPRA_LNC014366)". Lineage: Eukaryota; Viridiplantae; Streptophyta; Magnoliopsida; Fabales; Fabaceae. The record is from RNAcentral.